AGGAUGAACGCUGGCGGUCUGCUUAACACAUGCAAGUCGAACGGGCGUAGCAAUACGUUAGUGGCGGACGGGUGAGUAACGCGUGAGAAUCUACCUUCAGGACGGAGACAACAGUUGGAAACGACUGCUAACCCCCGAUGUACCGAAAGGGCAAAUAUUUAUAGCCUGAAGAAGAGCUCGCGUCCGAUUAGCUAGUUGGAGAGGUAAAAGCUCACCAAGGCGACGAUCGGUAGCUGGUCUGAGAGGACGAUCAGCCACACUGGGACUGAGACACGGCCCAGACUCCUACGGGAGGCAGCAGUGGGAAUUUCCGCAAUGGGCGAAAGCCUGACGGAGCAAGACCGCGUGGGGGAAGAAGGGCUCUUGGGUUGUAAACCCCUUUUCUCUGGGAAGAACGCAAUGACGGUACCAGAGGAAUCAGCAUCGGCUAACUCCGUGCCAGCAGCCGC
This 449-nucleotide ribosomal RNA is filed under the name uncultured bacterium. Its description in RNAcentral is "SSU rRNA". It matches the Rfam family "Bacterial small subunit ribosomal RNA", at positions 26 to 518 of the family's 1533-position model. The record is from RNAcentral.